Molecule: long non-coding RNA, 156 nt
Organism: Etheostoma spectabile (orangethroat darter)
Lineage: Eukaryota; Metazoa; Chordata; Actinopteri; Perciformes; Percidae
Exons: 3
Source: RefSeq, a predicted model, not a curated record
AUUUUCUCAUCAUGUGCACCAAAUGUCUGUAAUGAACUCCAAAACACCUUAAAUCUAGAAUCUCUUCCAUCUUUCAAUACUUAAAAACCUUUUAUAGUCAACUCUAACUUAACAGUGUAAUUGAUUUUAACUAGUGUGUGUGUUUAUGUCUUCUUU